GCGGCGUGCCUAAUACAUGCAAGUCGAACGCACUCUCGUUAGAUUGAAGAAGCUUGCUUCUGAUUGAUAACAUUUGAGUGAGUGGCGGACGGGUGAGUAACACGUGGGUAACCUGCCCUAAAGUGGGGGAUAACAUUUGGAAACAGAUGCUAAUACCGCAUAAAACCUAGCACCGCAUGGUGCAAGGUUGAAAGAUGGUUUCGGCUAUCACUUUAGGAUGGACCCGCGGUGCAUUAGUUAGUUGGUGAGGUAAAGGCUCACCAAGACCGUGAUGCAUAGCCGACCUGAGAGGGUAAUCGGCCACACUGGGACUGAGACACGGCCCAGACUCCUACGGGAGGCAGCAGUAGGGAAUCUUCCACAAUGGACGAAAGUCUGAUGGAGCAACGCCGCGUGAGUGAAGAAGGUUUUCGGAUCGUAAAACUCUGUUGUUGGAGAAGAACGUAUUUGAUAGUAACUGAUCAGGUAGUGACGGUAUCCAACCAGAAAGCCACGGCUAACUACGUGCCAGCAGCCGCGGUAAUACGUAGGUGGCAAGCGUUGUCCGGAUUUAUUGGGCGUAAAGCGAGCGCAGGCGGUUUCUUAAGUCUGAUGUGAAAGCCUUCGGCUCAACCGAAGAAGUGCAUCGGAAACUGGGAAACUUGAGUGCAGAAGAGGACAGUGGAACUCCAUGUGUAGCGGUGAAAUGCGUAGAUAUAUGGAAGAACACCAGUGGCGAAGGCGGCUGUCUGGUCUGUAACUGACGCUGACGCUCGAAAGCAUG
Molecule: ribosomal RNA, 763 nt
Filed under: Latilactobacillus curvatus
Lineage: Bacteria; Bacillati; Bacillota; Bacilli; Lactobacillales; Lactobacillaceae
Description: bacterial SSU rRNA
Rfam family: Bacterial small subunit ribosomal RNA
Source: RNAcentral